RNAcentral lists this ribosomal RNA (467 nucleotides) under uncultured bacterium. Its description in RNAcentral is "partial 16S ribosomal RNA". It matches the Rfam family "Bacterial small subunit ribosomal RNA", at positions 28 to 507 of the family's 1533-position model. The record is from RNAcentral.
GAUGAACGCUGGCGGCGUGCUUAACACAUGCAAGUCGAACGGAAAGGCCCAAGCUUGCUUGGGUACUCGAGUGGCGAACGGGUGAGUAACACGUGGGUGAUCUGCCCUGCACUUCGGGAUAAGCCUGGGAAACUGGGUCUAAUACCGGAUAGGACAACUUCUUGGAUGUUGUGGUGGAAAGUUUUUUCGGUGUGGGAUGAGCUCGCGGCCUAUCAGCUUGUUGGUGGGAUAAUGGCCUACCAAGGCGUCGACGGGUAGCCGGCCUGAGAGAGUGUACGGCCACAUUGGGACUGAGGUACGGCCCAGACACCGACGGGAGGCAGCAGGGGGGAAGAUUGCAGGAUGGGCGCAGGCCUGAUGCAGCGACGCCGCGGGGGGGAUGACGGUCUUAGGGGUGUAAACUCCAUGCGCUAGGGACGAAGCGUGUUGUGACGGUACCUGAAGAAAAAGCACCGGCUAACUACGUG